This 497-nucleotide ribosomal RNA is filed under the name uncultured bacterium. Its description in RNAcentral is "partial 16S ribosomal RNA". It matches the Rfam family "Bacterial small subunit ribosomal RNA", at positions 28 to 507 of the family's 1533-position model. The record is from RNAcentral.
GAUGAACGCUGGCGGCGUGCCUAAUACAUGCAAGUCGAGCGAACAGACGAGGAGCUUGCUCCUCUGACGUUAGCGGCGGACGGGUGAGUAACACGUGGAUAACCUACCUAUAAGACUGGGAUAACUUCGGGAAACCGGAGCUAAUACCGGAUAAUAUAUUGAACCGCAUGGUUCAAUAGUGAAAGACGGUUUUGCUGUCUCUUAUAGAUGGAUCCGCACCGCAUUAGCUAGUUGGUAAGGUAACGGCUUACCAAGGCAACGAUGCGUAGCCGACCUGAGAGGGUGAUCGGCCACACUGGAACUGAGACACGGUCCAGACUCCUACGGGAGGCAGCAGUAGGGAAUCUUCCGCAAUGGGCGAAAGCCUGACGGAGCAACGCCGCGUGAGUGAUGAAGGUCUUCGGAUCGUAAAACUCUGUUAUUAGGGAAGAACAAAUGUGUAAGUAACUAUGCACGUCUUGACGGUACCUAAUCAGAAAGCCACGGCUAACUACGUG